CCUACGGGUGGCUGCAGUGAGGAAUAUUGGUCAAUGGCCGGAAGGCUGAACCAGCCAUGCCGCGUGAAGGUCAGUGCCCUAUGGGCGUUAAACUUCUUUUGUGCGGGAGCAAUAAUGGUCACGUGUGGCCAGACGAGAGUACCGUACGAAUAAGCAUCGGCUAACUCCGUGCCAGCAGCCGCGGUAAUACGGGGGAUGCAAGCGUUAACCGGGUUUUAUGGGUUUAAAGGGUGCGUAGGCUGGGAGGUAAGUUAGGUGUGAAAUGCCCCCGGUCAACGGGGUGAAGUGCCAUUGAUACUGCCUGGCUGGAAUGCAGAUGCGGUAGGAGGAAUGUGUGGUGUAGCGGUGAAAUGCAUAGAUAGCACACAGAACACCGAUUGCGAAGGCAUCUUACGAAUCCGCGAUUGACGCUGAUGCACGAAAGCGUGGGUAUCAAACAGGAUUAGAUACCCGAGUAGUC
This 460-nucleotide ribosomal RNA is filed under the name uncultured bacterium. RNAcentral's name for it is "partial 16S ribosomal RNA". It matches the Rfam family "Bacterial small subunit ribosomal RNA", at positions 338 to 795 of the family's 1533-position model. The record is from RNAcentral.